UAGCGGCGGACGGGUGAGUAACACGUGGGCAACCUGCCUGUAAGACUGGGAUAACUUCGGGAAACCGGAGCUAAUACCGGAUAGNNNCUUUUCNNNNAUNNNAGAAGAUGGAAAGACGGUUUNNNCUGUCACUUACAGAUGGGCCCGCGGCGCAUUAGCUAGUUGGUGAGGUAAUGGCUCACCAAGGCGACGAUGCGUAGCCGACCUGAGAGGGUGAUCGGCCACACUGGGACUGAGACACGGCCCAGACUCCUACGGGAGGCAGCAGUAGGGAAUCUUCCGCAAUGGACGAAAGUCUGACGGAGCAACGCCGCGUGAACGAAGAAGGCCUUCGGGUCGUAAAGUUCUGUUGUUAGGGAAGAACAAGUACCAGAG
This 375-nucleotide ribosomal RNA is filed under the name Peribacillus simplex. Its description in RNAcentral is "Bacillus simplex partial 16S ribosomal RNA". It matches the Rfam family "Bacterial small subunit ribosomal RNA", at positions 93 to 461 of the family's 1533-position model. Lineage: Bacteria; Bacillati; Bacillota; Bacilli; Caryophanales; Bacillaceae. The record is from RNAcentral.